This 240-nucleotide ribosomal RNA is filed under the name uncultured bacterium. RNAcentral's name for it is "partial 16S ribosomal RNA". It matches the Rfam family "Bacterial small subunit ribosomal RNA", at positions 111 to 334 of the family's 1533-position model. The record is from RNAcentral.
UAACACGUAAACAACCUGCCUUCAGGAUGGGGACAACAGACGGAAACGACUGCUAAUACCGAAUAAGUUCCAAGGGCCGCAUGGCCCAUGGAAGAAAAGGUGGCCUCUACCUGUAAGCUAUCGCCUGAAGAGGGGUUUGCGUCUGAUUAGCUGGUUGGAGGGGUAACGGCCCACCAAGGCGACGAUCAGUAGCCGGUCUGAGAGGAUGAACGGCCACAUUGGGACUGAGACACGGCCCAG